RNAcentral lists this ribosomal RNA (492 nucleotides) under uncultured bacterium. RNAcentral describes it as "partial 16S ribosomal RNA". It matches the Rfam family "Bacterial small subunit ribosomal RNA", at positions 29 to 507 of the family's 1533-position model. The record is from RNAcentral.
AGUGAACGCUGGCGGUAGGCCUAACACAUGCAAGUCGAACGGCAGCACAGUAAGAGCUUGCUCUUACGGGUGGCGAGUGGCGGACGGGUGAGGAAUACAUCGGAAUCUACUUUUUCGUGGGGGAUAACGUAGGGAAACUUACGCUAAUACCGCAUACGACCUACGGGUGAAAGCAGGGGACCUUCGGACCUUGCGCGAUUGAAUGAGCCGAUGUCGGAUUAGCUAGUUGGCGGGGUAAAGGCCCACCAAGGCGACGAUCCGUAGCUGGUCUGAGAGGAUGAUCAGCCACACUGGAACUGAGACACGGUCCAGACUCCUACGGGAGGCAGCAGUGGGGAAUAUUGGACAAUGGGCGCAAGCCUGAUCCAGCCAUACCGCGUGGGUGAAGAAGGCCUUCGGGUUGUAAAGCCCUUUUGUUGGGAAAGAAAAGCAGCAGGUUAAUACCCCGCUGUUCUGACGGUACCCAAAGAAUAAGCACCGGCUAACUUCGCG